UCCGGACUGUUCGGGUGCCGUAAAACGCAUCUGUUCGGAAAGGGAGAUAUCAUACACCCUAUGUUUAUUUACUUUUGUUGCUUUGGCGGGCCGUCCUUUUAGGCAUCGGCCCUGGCUGAUCGUGCCCGCCAGAGGACCUAAACUCUUCUAUCAGUGAUGUCUGAGUACUAUAUAAUAGUUAAAACUUUCAACAACGGAUCUCUUGGUUCUGGCAUCGAUGAAGAACGCAUCGAAAUGCGAUAAGUAAUGUGAAUUGCAGAAUUCAGUGAAUCAUCGAAUCUUUGAACGCACAUUGCGCCCGCUGGUAUUCCGGCGGGCAUGCCUGUUCGAGCGUCAUUAUGACCAAUCAAGCUCUGCUUGGCUUUGGGGCCCGCUGUACCGGCGGCCCUUAAAAUCAGUGGCGGUGCCGUCUGGCUCUAAGCGUAGUAAUACUUCUCGCUACAGGGUCCAGGCGUCCACCCGUCAGAACCCUCAACUUUCUUAGGUUGACCUCGGAUCAGGUAGGGAUACCCGCUGAACUUAAGCAUAUCA
RNAcentral lists this ribosomal RNA (531 nucleotides) under uncultured Ascomycota. RNAcentral describes it as "eukaryotic LSU rRNA". The stretch from base 183 to 336 matches the Rfam family "5.8S ribosomal RNA". The record is from RNAcentral. Lineage: Eukaryota; Fungi; Ascomycota.